GGCUUCUCCCCUGGCCCCAGAGCUCCCUGCUGCCGGAGGGGAGGGAGGGGCCCCUCCCCCAGAGCUCUGUGCUGCCUGCCGGCAGGAAGAGACAAGCACCUUCCCCAGAGCUAGCUGCUGCUGGCAGGGAGAGGGCUAGGGGAAGUCCUCUGGCUACAGCCCUGGGGUAGCCUGCACCCCAAACUCCUCAUCCCCUGACCCACCCCAGAGCCCACACCCCCAGCCAGUGCCUUUACCCCCUCCCCGCAUCCCAACCCUCUUCCCAACCCUUAGCCCCCUCCCAAACCCCUCAUCCCCAGCUCCACCCUAGAGUCCUCACCCCUGUCAGAGAGAUGAAAAGAAAACAGAGGAACAAAUUGACCAGCGAACAUUUGAACUGCCUUACUGGGCUUGCGAUGACAGAUUACGAAUACUGCGUGAACAAAGUCAAGGAGGAACAGGCACACUUCCGCUCAUCCAGUUUUUAAAGGGGGACCCUACCACUACCUCAUCACUGUCCAUGGACACCCGCAAGGGUGGAGUCUCACACAAUACAGAUGAGGAUUUUGUGCAUGAUGAUGAGGAGAAUGUGCAGCAGGCAAGCAGACAAUCUGUUCUCCCUGGCAGCCAGGACCUUUUCAUCACCCUGGAGCCAAUACCCUCCCAGGGUGAAUUGUUCCUGGACCCUGAAGAUGGAGAAGGUAUCUCUGAGUUCUGACCUCCCGAAGAUGCUAUUUCCAAGCAGAGGUGCUAGCAAUGAGCAGUGCCCGAGGUGCUGUUAGUGCCAAGAGAUUCUGGAGUGAUGACGUUUCAUGGCCACCACCUUCUUUUCAGCCAAGAACGAGACAUGUCACUGCUCCUGUUAAAGGCCUGGCAGGGACAGUGCUUGCCAGGCAGUGCCCCUUGCUCUGGGCAAUAUCUUAGCAGGCUGUGACUCAGCUCCUUCCCGCCCUGGGAACACUAGGAGAUCGCCUGAUUCAACUUCCUGAAUCACCACACCGAGAGGAGUGUUACCUUCCCCCUCACCCAGAGGCAAUACAAGCUGCGUGAAUAUAACACAAAGAGAAAAUUUAUCCUUCUCUUCUCCCCACCAAUUUCCU
RNA transcript from Gopherus flavomarginatus (Mexican gopher tortoise), 1079 nucleotides. RefSeq lists it as uncharacterized. The record is from RefSeq and is a predicted model, not a curated record. The transcript has 5 exons. NCBI's taxonomy places the organism in Eukaryota, Metazoa, Chordata, Testudines, Testudinidae.